CAGCAACGCCGCGUGUGUGAUGAAGGUCUUCGGAUUGUAAAGCACUUUCGACCGGGACCGAACACCCCCUUGGCUAACAUCCAAGGGCCUGACGGUACGGGAGAAGAAGCACCGGCUAACUCUGUGCCAGCAGCCGCGGUAAUACAGAGGGUGCAAGCGUUGUUCGGAAUUAUUGGGCGUAAAGCGCGUGUAGGCGGCUUUGCAAGUCGGGUGUGAAAUCCCUCAGCUUAACUGAGGAAGUGCGCCCGAAACUGCAGAGCUUGAGUGCCGAAGAGGGCGGUGGAAUUCCCCAAGUAGAGGUGAAAUUCGUAGAUAUGGGGAGGAACACCGGUGGCGAAGGCGGCCGCCUGGUCGGUAACUGACGCUGAGACGCGAAAGCAUGGGGAGCAAACAGGAUUAGAUACCCUGGUAGUCCAUGCCGUAAACGAUGAGAACUAGGUGUCGUGGGUGUUGACCCCCGCGGUGCCGUAGCUAACGCAUUAAGUUCUCCGCCUGGGAAGUACGGCCGCAAGGCUA
Molecule: ribosomal RNA, 516 nt
Filed under: uncultured Pseudomonadota bacterium
Lineage: Bacteria; Pseudomonadati; Pseudomonadota
Description: bacterial SSU rRNA
Rfam family: Bacterial small subunit ribosomal RNA
Source: RNAcentral